RNAcentral lists this ribosomal RNA (253 nucleotides) under uncultured bacterium. RNAcentral describes it as "partial 16S ribosomal RNA". It matches the Rfam family "Bacterial small subunit ribosomal RNA", at positions 524 to 776 of the family's 1533-position model. The record is from RNAcentral.
UACAGAGGUCCCAAGCGUUGUUCGGAUUCACUGGGCGUAAAGGGUGCGUAGGCGGUUGGGUAAGUCUGUCGUGAAAUCUCCGAGCCUAACUCGGAAACUGCGUCGGAUACUAUUCAACUCGAGGAAUGGAGGGGAGACUGGAAUUCUCGGUGUAGCAGUGAAAUGCGUAGAUAUCGAGAGGAACACCAGUGGCGAAGGCGAGUCUCUGGACAUUUCCUGACGCUGAGGCACGAAAGCCACGGGAGCAAACUGG